Molecule: ribosomal RNA, 501 nt
Filed under: uncultured bacterium
Lineage: Bacteria
Description: partial 16S ribosomal RNA
Rfam family: Bacterial small subunit ribosomal RNA
Source: RNAcentral
AUUGAACGCUGGCGGCAUGCCUUACACAUGCAAGUCGAACGGCAGCACGGGUGCUUGCACCUGGUGGCGAGUGGCGAACGGGUGAGUAAUAUAUCGGAACGUACCUUAUUGUGGGGGAUAACGCAGCGAAAGCUGUGCUAAUACCGCAUAAUCCCUAAGGGGGAAAGCGGGGGACCGUAAGGCCUCGCGCAAUUAGAGCGGCCGAUACCUGAUUAGCUAGUUGGUGAGGUAAAGGCUCACCAAGGCAACGAUCAGUAGCUGGUCUGAGAGGGCGAGCAGCCACACGGGGACUGGGCCACGGCCCAGACUCCUACGGGAGGCAGCAGUGGGGAAUUUUGGAAAAUGGGGGCAACCCUGAUCCAGCAAUGCCGGGGGAGUGAAGAAGGCUUUCGGGUUGUAAAGCUCUUUUGUCAGGAAAGAAACAGCAGCUCUAACACAGUUUGCGAAUGACGGUACCUGAAGAAAAAGCACCGGCUAACUACGUGCCAGCCGCCGCGGUAA